GACGUAGGGGGCCAGCGUUGUUCGGAAUUACUGGGUGUAAAGGGUUCGUAGGCGGUGUGGCAAGUCGGGAGUGAAAUCUCUGGGCUCAACCCAGAGGCUGCUUCCGAAACUGCUGUGCUUGAGUGUGGGAGAGGCGCGUGGAAUUGCAGGUGUAGCGGUGAAAUGCGCAGAUAUCAGGAAGAACACCCGUGGCGAAGGCGGCUUUCUGGGACGGUACUGACGCUGAGAAGCGAAAGCAUGGGGAGCGAACAGG
Molecule: ribosomal RNA, 253 nt
Filed under: uncultured bacterium
Lineage: Bacteria
Description: partial 16S ribosomal RNA
Rfam family: Bacterial small subunit ribosomal RNA
Source: RNAcentral